GAGUGUUAUAAAGAUUGUUGUAAUUAAAAAUUUAAAAUUAAAUCGAAAGAAUAAUUAAGAAAAGAGAAAGUAAUAAUUAACGAAAUUCUUUCUUGGCGAUAGAGAAAUAGUACUGAAAAGGAAAUUAAAGUAAAAUUUUAUAAAAAUUUUUUUAGUAAGUGUGAGCUACUGUACCUUGUGUAUCAGGGGUAAUCAAAUUUCGUUAAUUAUAGGCAUAUAAAUCCCGAAGUAAAAAUAGCUAAUUUUAUAAGAAAGUUUUUGUGACACAAAAUUUUAAAUAUAAAGUUAAAGAUGAAAUGUUAUACGAGUUUUAUAAUAUCUGGUUUCUUAAGAAAUAAAUAUAAUUUUAAGGUUUAAAAAAACGAUUUAAAAAAAGAAGAAUAGGAGGGAUUAGCUUCUUAUUCAAUAAGAGAUUCACAACACCUGGGUAAUAGAAACUUAAUUUCUUCUAGGCUUAAAAGUAGCCAUGAUAAAAGAGUGUUUUAACUGAGAGUUUGAAGUAAAUUUAUUUGUGCCAGGUUUGAAUAGUAUUAAGAUAUUUAUAGAAAUCUUUUUUGUAAAGAUUCAAUGAUUGUAUUAGUAUAAAUUUAUUAUUCAUAUCAAUAAACUAAAAAAUUAAAAUAGUUAAAAAUUAAUAAUAUUUUUACAUUUAAAAAAAGUUAUAUUAAAGGAACUCGGCAAACCAACUUCUUUGCCUGUUUAUCAAAAACAUGUCUAUUUGAGGUAAUAUAAAUAGUCUAGCCUGCUCACUGACACAAGUAGUUAAAGAGCCGCGGUACUCUGACCGUGCAAAGGUAGCAUAAUCAUUAGUUUCUUAAUUAGAAACUCGUAUGAAUGGUUGAACAAAAGAAGAGCUGUCUCUGGUAUAAAAGUAGAAUUUAACUUUUAAGUGAAAAGGCUUAAAUUAUUCAGGGGGACGAUAAGACCCUAUAAAGCUUUAUAUUAUCAGCUAUGAUUUAAUUAAAUUAAAAAGAAAUUAAAGGUUUUAAUAAGCUAUUAUAUUUUAUUGGGGAGAUAUAAGUAUAAUUUUAUGUAACUGCUUAUAAGUCGAUACAUUGAUAAUUGGUUUAAAUUUUAAUGAUCCUUUGAAUAAAGAUUCAAGACCAAGUUACUUUAGGGAUAACAGCGUUAUUUUUUUUGAGAGUUCAUAUCGAAAAAAAAGUUUGCGACCUCGAUGUUGAAUUAAAAUUAUCUUUAUAGUGCAGCCGCUGUAAAAGAGGGUCUGUUCGACCUUUAAAUUUUUACAUGAUUUGAGUUCAGACCGGCGUAAGCCAGGUCGGUUUCUAUCUCUUGAAAAUAAUAUAAGUUAUUAUAGUACGAAAGGAUUUAGUAAUUUAAAAUUUUU
This 1345-nucleotide ribosomal RNA is filed under the name Metacarcinus magister (Dungeness crab). RNAcentral's name for it is "16S ribosomal RNA". The stretch from base 647 to 1345 matches the Rfam family "Archaeal large subunit ribosomal RNA", at positions 1423 to 2781 of the family's 2987-position model. Lineage: Eukaryota; Metazoa; Arthropoda; Malacostraca; Decapoda; Cancridae. The record is from RNAcentral.